GAUGAACGCUGGCGGCGUGCCUAAUACAUGCAAGUCGAGCGAACGGACGAGAAGCUUGCUUCUCUGAUGUUAGCGGCGGACGGGUGAGUAACACGUGGAUAACCUACCUAUAAGACUGGGAUAACUUCGGGAAACCGGAGCUAAUACCGGAUAAUAUUUUGAACCGCAUGGUUCAAAAGUGAAAGACGGUCUUGCUGUCACUCAUAGAUGGAUCCGCGCUGCAUUAGCUAGUUGGUAAGGUAACGGCUUACCAAGGCAACGAUGCAUAGCCGACCUGAGAGGGUGAUCGGCCACACUGGAACUGAGACACGGUCCAGACUCCUACGGGAGGCAGCAGUAGGGAAUCUUCCGCAAUGGGCGAAAGCCUCACGGAGCAACGCCGCGUGAGUGAUGAAGGUCUUCGGAUCGUAAAACUCUGUUAUUAGGGAAGAACAUAUGUGUAAGUAACUGUGCACAUCUUGACGGUACCUAAUCAGAAAGCCACGGCUAACUACGUG
Molecule: ribosomal RNA, 497 nt
Filed under: uncultured bacterium
Lineage: Bacteria
Description: partial 16S ribosomal RNA
Rfam family: Bacterial small subunit ribosomal RNA
Source: RNAcentral